UGGGUGCCCAAAUUACCUGACUAUGAAAGAGCCUCAAGUUUGGUCUGGGUCUCAAGUUCAUUUCCACCUUGGCAUCCCAGACAGGAGAAGCUCCCAGGAAUUGGCUUCCCUUGGCUUUCCCUUCCUUGCUCUCCAACACUGGCCAGAGGUGCUGGCUGCAGGUGCACAGCCACUGAGCACUUUCCUGAUGGUUUUAUAUCUCUCAACGCAGCCUCAGGGGCAAGCAGGGCACACAUGAUUGUCAUGUCUGUUUUGAAGAGUCACAGAGAGAGGAACUGUCUUUCAGAAAGCCCACAGCAAAGAAGUCUUCUUGUUGCAACUGAAAGCCCAGGCUCCUGACCCCUAUCCGGUGACACUCUCUUUAGGAACAGAAAGGGUCAACGAGAAGUUUCCCCAGUUGUAAGUCAGUCUCUAAUUUUCAUUUGUCCAUUCCUUCUGCAUACUCUCUCAAACAGCUUUUACGCACCAGACCCUCUCUUGGGCUCAUAGACAUCAUCGGCCUUGACCUUGUCCUCAGGUUACUCCCAGCAUGGUGAAGAAGACAGAGACCUCUCAGGGGAAACAGGAACAAAGGGGCCUGGGAACAAAGGGAGGAAGUGACUCAUCCCACCUGGGGAGAGUGCUCAGACAAGGUUCCAAAAAGAGACAACAUUUGGUGGAGGAGGAAGAGAGGGAUCCCCUCCUACAGGAGCCCAGCACGGUAGGAGGGAAGAUCAGAGGGUAGGGUAGCCAUGCUCAUCAUGGCUUAGAAUCAGCAGGAAUUCCACAGAGGCAGAAGUACCUGGAGUGGGGUAGAAGGGAGGCUGAAACAGAAGUCAGUUCCCAGGAGCCUUGAAUGCCAAGCUUAGAAGUUUGAUAUGUUAUCCUGGGGACUUCCUGGAGGUUUGUAAGCAGGUGCCAGUGUCAUCAGAGCUAUCAAAUUCCUCUUUCCCUCUCCUCCAUUCCUUCAGGCCCUCACUUAAAGUCAUUAGCAUGGAGACCCCAGAUGCCAACUGCAGAUAUGUCCCUUCUGUCUUGUGUGGGUCCCAGGUUACACCAGUCAGAGCAGGUAGCAGCUUAGAGCAGUUGCCUUCUAAAUCCUCCAGUUCACAGAUGGGGAGCCCAAAGCCCAGAGAAGGGGAGCAAGGGAAGCAACAUAUCAGUUGUCUACCACCUCCUCCAGAGCAGAUACAGAGCCUGCGGGUCACAUUUCAGCCUUGGGAGCCUCUGCAGAUGAGGACACAGUAGUCAGGGAAGGGCCUGCUUGACAGCCCAGGUGGCUGGAGCCAGGUCUCCCCCCUGCAGUGUCACAGGCUGUGUUGGGCCUGGAGGAUUCAGGGGUGGGGUGGCUGCUCUGCAGGAAGCAUCUGGGGCAGGGUUGGGAGAGGAGGGGAGGGCCUGCAGCUGCGCUGACAUUCUCCUGCCACAUGCAGAGGCAUCUCCCCAUGGUGGGCACUUGAAAUAGCUCCCUGAGCUCCAGAGGCCCAGCAUCUAUGGACUUUAAUGUUUAAAGAACCUUUGUGUGCAGAGCAGAGCAACUGGAGAUGGAACUGGACUCUCUACCCAUCAACCAGCCAACUCCAACAGAAGUAGCAACGACAUUAACCAUAAUGAAAAUAACAGCCGAAAUAGCCACCUUUCCAGUGCAUUGACCACAGGCCAGGCCCUGUGCAGAGCCCUUCACCUUUAUUUGCUCAAUUCGUCCUCCCCAAAGCCCUCAGAUGGAGGGAAUUUUUGUAUCCCUGUUUCACAGAUGUGGACUCGAGACUCAAAGAGGUUAGCAACUACCCCAAGACACCCAGCUGAAAAAUGGUGGGUUGGGAUUCAAACCCAGGUCUGGGCAAUGUCAUGGCCCAGCUUUCUCCACUGCUCUGCACGUACUUCUGAGAAAGGAUUUCAGUAUCACAUAAGCCAGGAGAGCAGCACUAAUGACAGAGUACUCAUCUGUUGGCAAAGGCUCCCCUCACCCAGACACCUGCACAGCUCCUUCUUGUACCUCUUGCAGUCUUUGUCCAGUCAUCCCCUUCUCCCCGAGGCUUUCCCUGAACACUUUAUUUAAAAAUUGAAAUCCCUGUUCCUCCAACUCCCACUUGUCCCUUUCUGCUAAUUUUCUCCUCCAUUUCACUGAUUGAUAUCUAUUUUCAUUUCCUGGGACUGCUGCGACAAAGUAUCACAAACUAGGUGGUUUAUAACAACAGAAUGUACUCUCUCGAAGGCUUAGGGCUCUUCCUUGCCUUUCUCUUGGCUGCUGGCGUCACCAGUAAUCCUUGGCAGUUUGUGGCUCACCACUGCAUCACACCAAUCUCUGCCACACAUGGCAUGUCCUCUCUUCUCUUUAUAUUGUCUUUUUAGGACACUGAUCAUGUUAGAUAAGAGCCUCCCCUAUUCUAGUAUGACCUUGACCUAACUAGUUACCUCUAACAAUAUCUGGACUUCUAUUCAUUUUACCUGGUGUUUUAUCAUCUGUCUCCUCCCAUUAGAAUGUAAGCUCCAGGAAGCAGAAAUUUCUGUCUGUCUUGGUCACUCUUCUGUUUCCCAUCACCUAAAACCCAACGUAAUUUGCUCAACAAUUUGUUGAGUGUGUGUGAAUGAAAUACCAAGUCUGGACAAAGUGCAACAGAGGCUACAAGGACAUAAUACUCAGGAACAACGGGAAGGUAGUUACUUUUGGAAAUCUCAGAGGAAAAGCAAGUUUCUGAUUUAUUGUGGGAUAAGAUGGAGAAGGAGGUACAGAGGACAGACAAGAAAACCAGAUAUCAAAUAGUAGAACUGGAGUCUGCAUUGGAGGUAGUAGAGAGCAGAAUUAAAGCCGAGAAAUAUAAAAAUCAGUAAGGUGGAGGGCAAACUUGAGAUACUUUCCCAGAAUUCAGAGGAAAUCGCCAAAUAGAUCAAUCCAGUGAGAUAAAGGAUAACAGUUGUGGAUACUGGAGAAGGGAGUUUUCCUAAGGGAAAACCAGGACAAAAGAAACAGAAUCAAAAUCCAAAACAGUAGAAACAGUAGCAAUGAGCACACCUAACACCCAGAUUUUGGUUCCUAACACCAUUCUCCAGUAAAAGGAACCAGGGCUCCUUAGACAAAUGGCUGGUUCUAUGGGGCAGGAAAUAGACAAGAUGAUUCUGGAGUAUUUUGUAAUACCAGAAGGUAAGGAAUAACACACAUACUGGUGGGGCUGUAUCAAGGGAGUACAGUUGCCAAUUGAAAGAGCUCCCAAUGGCCAAAGCUGGAACAAUUUGAACACAAAAAAUUAAAGUAGUAUUAGAAUAUAACCCAAAGUAUAAAAUAAAUCUCCACAAGUUUACUAUUAUGUAAAUGAUUGACUAAUAAAUGGGAGAAUAUAGGCAAACCUCCUACACAGAAGAAUUCAAAAUAACUUACAUAGAUACUUCACACUCCAAAGAGGUAGGUCAUAACUACACACUUCUUAAGUUACUUCCUUCCAAAGGGUACAGUAGGAGAAGGGGGGAUAAAAAAGAAUAACUUGACGGUCGAGAAACCUGACAAACGUUCCCUUAGCGAGGCAAUCAAGGUCAACAUCAGCAGUGAUAAGUCACAUUGAAAGCUCCCUUGACAUGAUAUGAUGGGAAUAACUUUACCUCUGUGGUCUUCUUCCCCAAAUCCCAUAACCCCAGUCUAACCAUGAGAAAAACAUCAGACAAAUUACAGUUGAAGGCCAUCCUACAAAAUACCUGACCAAUACUCCCCCAAACUGUCUAGUUCAUCAAAAAUAGAGAAAGCCUUAGCCAAAAGGAGCUGAAGGAGGCAUGACAAUUGAAUAUAAUGUGGUAUAUUCUAGAUGGGAUCCAGGAAUAGAAAAAGGAUGUUUGAGAAAAAGACUAAGGAAAUCUGAUUAAAGAAUGGGUGUUAGCUAAUAAUAACAUCAAUAUUUAUUCAUUGUGACAAAUGCACAAAAUACUAAUAUAAAACAUUAAUAAUAGGGAAAACUGGAUGAGGGGUUGUAUGGGAACUCUGUAUAUAGUCUCCACAAUUUUUCUGUUUUC
Molecule: long non-coding RNA, 3978 nt
Filed under: Homo sapiens (human)
Lineage: Eukaryota; Metazoa; Chordata; Mammalia; Primates; Hominidae
Description: non-protein coding lnc-ANKS6-5:1
Source: RNAcentral